CACAUUAUAAAUAGCACUUUGAGUCUUAACAGUUAUAACAAGGAAAAAUCCACUUACCUCUUGGAGAGACAUGUUGUGUGAUUGACUGGACUAGCUAACCUAAAAACACACCAAAAAUACUAAAUUCUACACGUCAAAACCCGGUUUGCAGGUUGCUUCUACAAUCAAAUUUAGCUAAAAUUACACUUCAAAAAUAACCUAUCAAGUAAUUACUGCAAUUUCAUGGCGAUUAUCAAGUGUGAAA
Pectinophora gossypiella (pink bollworm) is the source of this 244-nucleotide long non-coding RNA. RefSeq lists it as uncharacterized. The record is from RefSeq and is a predicted model, not a curated record. NCBI's taxonomy places the organism in Eukaryota, Metazoa, Arthropoda, Insecta, Lepidoptera, Gelechiidae. The transcript has 2 exons.